This 497-nucleotide ribosomal RNA is filed under the name uncultured bacterium. RNAcentral's name for it is "partial 16S ribosomal RNA". It matches the Rfam family "Bacterial small subunit ribosomal RNA", at positions 28 to 507 of the family's 1533-position model. The record is from RNAcentral.
GAUGAACGCUGGCGGCGUGCCUAAUACAUGCAAGUCGAGCGAACAGACGAGGAGCUUGCUCCUCUGACGUUAGCGGCGGACGGGUGAGUAACACGUGGAUAACCUACCUAUAAGACUGGGAUAACUUCGGGAAACCGGGUCUAAUACCGGAUAAUAUAUUGCACCGCAUGGUUCAAUAGUGAAAUACGGUUUUGCUGUCACUUAUAGAUGGAUCCGCGCCGCAUUAGCUAGUUGGUAAGGUAACGGCUUACCAAGGCAACGAUGCUUAGCCGACCUGAGAGGGUGAUCGGCCACACUGGAACUGAGACACGGCCCAGACUCCUACGGGAAGAAGCAGUAGGGAAUCUUCCGCAAUGGGGGAAAGCCUGACGGAGCAACGCCGCGUGAGUGAUGAAGGUCUUCGGAUCGUAAAGCUCUGUUAUUAGGGAAGAACAAAUGUGUAAGUAACUAUGCACGUCUUGACGGUACCUAAUCAAAAAGCCACGGCUAACUACGUG